AGGACGAACGCUGGCGGCGUGCUUAACACAUGCAAGUCGAGCGGAAAGGCCCUUCGGGGUACUCGAGCGGCGAACGGGUGAGUAACACGUGAGCAACCUGCCCUUAGCUCUGGGAUAGCUCCGGGAAACCGGAAUUAAUACCGGAUAUGACCUAGGCCGACAUCGGCCGUGGUGGAAAGUUUUUCGGCUAGGGAUGGACUCGCGGCCUAUCAGCUAGUUGGUGGGGUAAUGGCCUACCAAGGCGACGACGGGUAGCCGGCCUGAGAGGGCGACCGGCCACACUGGGACUGAGACACGGCCCAGACUCCUACGGGAGGCAGCAGUGGAGAAUCUUGCGCAAUGGGCGAAAGCCUGACGCAGCGACGCCGCGUGGGGGAUGAAGGCCUUCGGGUUGUAAGCUCUUUCGCCCGCGACGAUGAUGACGGUAGCGGGAGAAGAAGCCCGGCUAACUCGCGCCAGCAGCCGC
This 466-nucleotide ribosomal RNA is filed under the name uncultured bacterium. Its description in RNAcentral is "SSU rRNA". It matches the Rfam family "Bacterial small subunit ribosomal RNA", at positions 26 to 518 of the family's 1533-position model. The record is from RNAcentral.